Molecule: long non-coding RNA, 1913 nt
Filed under: Sus scrofa (pig)
Lineage: Eukaryota; Metazoa; Chordata; Mammalia; Artiodactyla; Suidae
Description: lncRNA (ENSSSCG00000056579.1)
Source: RNAcentral
AAAAAAAAAAUUCAGACUUUUCAGUUUGGUCGAAUACAUCAUAAAUUAGUCAUGGGGGUGGGGGUGGGGGGAUCAGCCCAACUAUUUUUGUUUUAUCUUAAUGACAUCGACCUCGCUUGUGCAACAUCACAAUAUCAGGAAUUACUCUAGCUGAUGUGCAUACAAGGCAGAGGUCUCAACCUGGAGGGCCAUUGACUAGAUUCAAGUCACAGGUGUGUUUGCUUUGGCUGGAUCAGGCUAUCUUUCAAACUGUUUUAAAUGGGGCUGUCUAGUCUACCACAGUCCCCUCUACUCCCUAAUAUCUUACACCCUGUACACUCAUUUACAGGGAAUCUGAUGAUAAUAGCAGCCUUUGAUGUAACAAAUGCUUGGUAACAUAAGGAGAAGGAAACUCUUUUUGUUAACAAUAUUUGCUAACAAACAGUAAGUGCUGGAGAGGGUGUGGAGAAAAAGGAACCCUAGUACACUGUUGGUGGGACUGGUGCAACCACUGUGGAAAACAGUAUGGAGAUUCCUCAGAAAACUAAAACUAGAACUACCAUGUGAUCCAGCAAUCCCACUCCUGGGCUUCUAUCCUGAGAAAACCACGACUCACAAAGACACAUGUACUCCGAUGUUCAUUGCAGCACUCUUCAAUAGCCAAGACAUGGAAACAACCUAAAUGUCCAUCGAGAGAGGAGUGGAUCAAGAAGAUGUGGUACAUAUACACAAUGGAAUAUUACUCAGCCAUUAAAGGAAAGAAAUAAUGGCAUUUUUAGCAAUACGGAUGGACCUAGAAAUUAUCAUGCUAAGUGAAGUCAGUCAGACAAUGAGACACCAACAUCCAAUGCUUUCACUGACAUGUAGAAUCUGAAAAAAGGACAGACUGAACUUCUUUGCAGAACAGAUACUGACUCACAGACUGAAAAACUUAUGGUUUCCAAAGGAGACAGUUCAGGGGGUGGGGGGAUGCGCUGGAGUUGUGGGAUGGAAAUCCUAUAAAAUUGGAUUGUGAUGAUCAUUGUACAACUAUAAAUGUAUAUUGAGUAUUAAAAAAAGAAGAAAAAACAAUAUUUGUUAAUAAAUAUGGGUGUAUCGGGUUAAUAAUAUGUGGGUAUUGGUUAACAGCAUUUGGAUAACACUAACAGUAAAAUGUGCUGAGGGCUUACUCUCUGCCAGAAAUCAUUGCCUUGAUGGAGGAGGACAGUCACACAGGGAGUUGUAGCUGUCCCAAGAAGGGUCCAUAGAUAGAGAGGGAAACCUGGAGAACUUUGGGAGACCAGUGUAAGUUCAAAGUCACCCAAGAAAGCCAUCAGGGGAGUUCCCAUCGUGGCGCAGUGGUUAACGAAUCUGACUAGGAACCAUGAGGUUGCGGGUUCGAUCCCUGCCCUUGCUUAGUGGGUUAAUGAUCCGGCGUUGCCGUGAGCUGUGGUGUAGGUUGCAGAUGCGGUUUGGAUCCCGCGUUGCUGUGGCUCUGGCGUAGGCUGGUGGCUACAGCUCUCAUUCGACCCCUAGCCUGGGAAACUUCAUAUACCACAGGAGCGGCCCAAGAAAUGGCAAAAAGACAAAAAAAAAAAAAAAAAAAAAAAAGAAAGCCAUCAGAACAUCUUGGGACAAAGCAGCCUUGCUUAACUAUAAAACUAUCAGUAAAAGCACAAGAUAUGCCUCAGGUCGUUAAGGGAAAGAUAAAAUGAGGCUUGUACUCAGUUCAGCAAGAUAGGGAUCCUUAGGACCAAGUACAGGAAUUUUAGGGAAGGAUGACCUUCCAAGGUAGGAGACCCUCAUUAUACAGAAACCUGAGAUGAUUCAACAUAGUUUGGCACCUGUUACUGCCCUUCUGCUGAUUUGAAUAAGCACCAUGACAGUCCAGCUUGACCUCAUAGGUUCAAAUACUCUUUUACCUGAUAUAAAGGAGGAGCUAGUGAUGUAAGCCC